Molecule: ribosomal RNA, 293 nt
Filed under: uncultured bacterium
Lineage: Bacteria
Description: partial 16S ribosomal RNA
Rfam family: Bacterial small subunit ribosomal RNA
Source: RNAcentral
GUGCCAGCAGCCGCGGUAAGACGAACCGUGCGAACGUUAUUCGGAAUCACUGGGCUUAAAGCGCGUGUAGGCGGAUGGGAACGUCGGUAGUUGAAAGCCCCCGGCUCAACCGGGGAAGUGGUGCCGAAACGACCCGUCUGGAGGGACGUAGGGGGACCUGGAACUUCCGGUGGAGCGGUGAAAUGCGUUGAGAUCGGAAGGAACGCCCGUGGCGAAAGCGAGGUCCUGGACGUCUACUGACGCUGAGACGCGAAAGCUAGGGGAGCAAACGGGAUUAGAAACCCCAGUAGUCC